RNAcentral lists this ribosomal RNA (608 nucleotides) under uncultured fungus. RNAcentral describes it as "eukaryotic LSU rRNA". It matches the Rfam family "Eukaryotic large subunit ribosomal RNA", at positions 40 to 647 of the family's 3401-position model. The record is from RNAcentral. Lineage: Eukaryota; Fungi.
AUAUUACUAAGCGGAGGAAAAGAAAUUAACGAAGAUUGCCUCAGUAGCGGCGAGCGAAGUGGCAAAAGCUCAAUUCAAAUCUGUGGCCUCCGGCUACCGAAUUGUAAUCUAAAGGGGUUAGCAAAAGGUGAAGUGGAAGCAUAAGUUGCUUGGAACAGCACGCCAAAGAGGGUGAUAGCCCCGUAUUUGGCUUCCGCUGAGCUGAAUGCUGGCUUUCUAAGAGUCGGGUUGUUUGGGAUUGCAGCCCUAAAUGGGAGAUAAACUUCUUCUAAGGCUAAAUAUCGAUGGGAAACCGAUAGCGAACAAGUACUGUGAAGGAAAGAUGAAAAGAACUUUGAAAAGAGGGUUAAAAGACUUGAAAUCGUUGAGAAGGAAGCGGUAGAGGUGGAUUACUUGGCUAUGAAGCAAGCUACGUGGUGGAGCUCUGCAGCGGUGAUGUACUUCAUCGGCUAGCUGUUGCAGCUGUUACGCCUUGUAGUGAUUUCAUGGCUAAUAGGCAACUCUGUGUCUGUGCCUACAGGAAUCAGGGUGGGAGAAGUCUGCGGUCUCCGCAAGCUCUUAUCCAAAACUGUGGGUUGGCCCAGAAUUGCCAAAACGGCCUCUACUGA